This 321-nucleotide unclassified non-coding RNA is filed under the name Hevea brasiliensis (rubber tree). Lineage: Eukaryota; Viridiplantae; Streptophyta; Magnoliopsida; Malpighiales; Euphorbiaceae. The record is from RNAcentral.
CUCAACACAACACGGCAACCUCAAAUUUCUUCUUUUCCUUACAAGAACAGAAGCAUACCAGAAAAUCUGUCUUAAGAAAGAUUGAAUUUUUCUUUGUCCUCUUAAGGGAAAUAAAAUGGAUGAAAGAGAAAGCAGCUCACUUGUACCAGAAUCAGUCAUGGACUCUGCUAAGACUACCUUGGCCGACCUCGAACGAGUACAGACCCACUUGCUUCAGUUCCUCUCUCUCUCUGACCCGGAUGUCCUCGCUGAGACGCCCCCUCUCCAACGCGCACAGUCUCUCUUUCUGCUUGCCAAGGCCACUACUAUUCUUUUCUCAUU